GGCUCAGCUGGUACCUGCCUGCCGGCAGGCAGGGAGCAGCGGUUUCGUAAACCGCAGGUCGUCAGUUCAAUCCUGACCGCCA
Molecule: transfer RNA, 82 nt
Filed under: Candidatus Omnitrophota bacterium
Lineage: Bacteria; Pseudomonadati; Candidatus Omnitrophota
Description: Candidatus Omnitrophica bacterium (groundwater metagenome) tRNA-Thr
Source: RNAcentral